Small nucleolar RNA from Lethenteron reissneri (Far Eastern brook lamprey), 134 nucleotides. RefSeq annotates it as small nucleolar RNA SNORA68. The record is from RefSeq and is a predicted model, not a curated record. Lineage: Eukaryota; Metazoa; Chordata; Hyperoartia; Petromyzontiformes; Petromyzontidae.
UUUGCACACAACCCAUUAAGAGCAUCUAGCUACCCCUGAUGCCCUUAAGUCAUGUGUGCAGAAAGGAAGGCUCGGCCCUUAGCCUUCACGGGUCUCCUACCGUGGCCCGCGAAGUGAACAUGGCUGAUACAACA